AAACCUAAUCAAAUCCUAGUCAAAUCCUAAUCAAAUCCUAAUCAAACCUUAAUCAAAUCUUAGUCAAAUCUUAAUCAAAUCCUAAUCAAACCUUAAUCAAAUCCUAAUCAAAUCUUAAUCAAAUCCUAAUCAAACUCUAAACAAAUCCUAGUCAAAUUCUAAAUAAAUCCUAAAUAAAUCUUAACCAAAUCCUAUACAAAUCCUAAUCAAAUAUUAAAUAAAUUCUAAAAAUAUCCUAAAAAAAUCCUAAACAAAUCCUAAAUAAACCUCAACCAAAUCCUAAAUAAUUCCAAAUAAUUCUUAUAGUAAAUUUAAACCUCAAUAACUAAUGAAUGAAUUGUUGAUUUUAACUC
This 353-nucleotide long non-coding RNA is filed under the name Physcomitrium patens. RNAcentral describes it as "long non-coding RNA (PPAT_LNC008400)". Lineage: Eukaryota; Viridiplantae; Streptophyta; Bryopsida; Funariales; Funariaceae. The record is from RNAcentral.